CUCAUUCUCCCAUGGAAAACUAAUUUUCUUUCCUUGUUUUCUUUUCAUUUCUUUUCUCUUCUUGCUUCAUUCUUCUCCCAACUUCUUAUGCACCAAAGUUAUAACUUUUAACCCCAAUUUCCACCACAUAUAAACUCGAGGAGAAGAAGAAAGAAAAAGAGAGAAAAGAAGAAAAAGCUUGGUUUUGGUGAUUCAAGCAAGGAACGGUAAAAAUUCUUGUUUUUGGCUUGAGUGGUCUUUGAAAAUGAGUUAGUGACUUGGAGAAAUCUUUUGUGGCAGCAAAGAUUGGCUUGAUUGGAGAAAAAUUGAUAACAUGUAAGCCAAUAAACCUAUGGGUACAUGAAGGACUCAAAGUGGAAAAAGAAAACGGUAAGCUUAACACUAUGUUUUAAAGCCUACGGUUAUUUGAAUAUUGUGGAAAAUUAUGGUUGUUGAAAGGAUCUACUUGCAUAAGCUAGUUGAAAAUUGUUAAGAUUGUAUGGCAUGUCAUUUAAAAGAAAUGAAAAAGGAAUAUUGUGGAUGGAGGAUUGAGAAACAAAGUAUUGAAAGUUAGAUAGAUGACGAUGCGUGUAAACUAGGAAAUAAUCGAGUGAAAGUGAGAAUGAUUGUUGCUGCCACAUAUGUGGAUUAUGUGUGGAAAUAUAAGAUGGAUUUGGGUGGAAAUUAUUUAGAAAUGCUGAAGUAGACACGUGACAUCAUAAUUAAGUUGCCGAUGACAUAAUUUAAGGAAUUACGUAUGCAAUGGAUAUAAGUAAUUGUAGUAAAAAUGUAUUAAGAUGUGAGUUAAUUGAAGAUGGUUUCAUGAUAAGAGGAAAAAUAUAAAUUUGAGUAAGGAUUAAUUGAUUGAAGUGCUACUCGUAUACAUAUGUAAUUAAAUAUAUUGAGUUCAUAUUAUUGCAAGGAAGUGCAAAGAUAAAGUUAGAGUAUUGUGGGGGCGUGCCAGAGUAAAUAAUGAGCGACCAGCCAGUGAAAAUAGUUAGAGACAGCUCCGAACAAAUAACAGCUUAAUAUCUCAUUGUAGCCAAGUGAGUGAACUUGCAUUAAAAUGUUUUGGAAUAAAUGAUUUUAUUCUUGAUUGAGGCACUUGAAAUAUUUUGUUGGUUUUUCUUUAAAAGUUGCAUGGGAAUAAGCCCUUGAUGAAAUGUUUUGAUAUUAUGAGGUAUGAACAUGAUGAAUUCAUGAGUUUCUACAUUAUGUUGACGUGUAUAUUAUACAGUAAAUGAUAUUUUUGUGUGAUAAUUAUGACUCAGCCAUGUGUGGUGUAGGAGUGCACAUGAGCAGUGCUGACCCAGCCAUGUUCGGAGUAUGAGUGCACAUGAGCUGUGCUGACUCGACUAUGUGCGGUGUGGUAGUGCACAUAAGCUGAGAUAGAGUUGGGGACGAGGCCAGUGGUUAUAUAUAUGUUUAUAUAUGAUAUAUAUAUAUAUAUAGAGGUUUUGGAAAUUAUAUUAUGGUUGCAUUGAUUUUUGAAUGUUAAAACUUGAGAAACGGUUUCCACUUGAUUUUCACUGCAGCAAAGACAGAUUUCCGUUGUGACAAGAAAUUGAGUUAAAUUGCAUUGUCUUUAACAUAAAUGCAUCAUGAUUUCUAAAACCUUUCGUAUUGAUGCUUGUUCCCUUCCUAUGUUCACUCAUUGAGUUUAUACUCAUGUUUUUAAAAUUCAUGUUUUAGGUUUCCUGAGUUAAAGGUGAUUGGAUCCUAGGACGAGGUGCUCCUCCCUAUCCAUUGUUUGGUAGGUUUAACGUGGCACUAAAUGUUAUCAAUCAUGCCCAGAGUCACUCCGCUGACGAUCAAGGUUUAAUCAUGUGUAUAUGAAUACUUGGUGUGAAAUACUAAGAAUCAUUUGUUAAUCUAUAUAUGAAUAUAAUGGUUGAUGAUACCAUUAUGAAUCAUGGUUGGGUUUUAUGAAUUGUUUUCAAAGGAACGGUAUUUGAACAUUACGAAUUUUGGAUUCUAAAGGAUUAGGGAUUAAUGUAUAAGAUCAAUUUAGUAGGCUUGCUUGGG
This 2004-nucleotide long non-coding RNA is filed under the name Theobroma cacao (cacao). RNAcentral's name for it is "long non-coding RNA (TCAC_LNC001823)". Lineage: Eukaryota; Viridiplantae; Streptophyta; Magnoliopsida; Malvales; Malvaceae. The record is from RNAcentral.